Lutzomyia longipalpis is the source of this 212-nucleotide long non-coding RNA. RefSeq lists it as uncharacterized. NCBI's taxonomy places the organism in Eukaryota, Metazoa, Arthropoda, Insecta, Diptera, Psychodidae. The record is from RefSeq and is a predicted model, not a curated record. The transcript has 3 exons.
UAUGGAUCUUAUUCUUAUCGAAGCCAUCCGAUUUCACCGAAUGAGCGCAUAUAGCCCAUCUUGCGCGCUGUAAACCCAUAAUCGAAUUGUGAAAAAUUCGGUUGAAGAAAUAGGAUAAACACGAAAAGUUAAUUAAUCAAACGACAAUGAACAAAAGGAACAUGGAUCUUAUUCUCAUUGAAACCCUUCUAUCAGUACCUGGAUAAAGCAUG